Molecule: ribosomal RNA, 484 nt
Filed under: uncultured bacterium
Lineage: Bacteria
Description: partial 16S ribosomal RNA
Rfam family: Bacterial small subunit ribosomal RNA
Source: RNAcentral
AGUGAACGCUGGCGGCAGGCCUAACACAUGCAAGUCGAGCGGCAGCGCGGGGGCAACCCUGGCGGCGAGCGGCGGACGGGUGAGGAAUUCGUCGGAAUCUGCCUUUUUGUGGGGGAUAACGUAGGGAAACUUACGCUAAUACCGCAUACGUCCUACGGGAGAAAGUGGAGGACCGCAAGGCCUCACGCAGAAAGAUGAGCCGACGACCGAUUAGCUAGUUGGUGGGGUAAAGGCCCACCAAGGCGACGAUCGGUAGCUGGUCUGAGAGGAUGAUCAGCCACACUGGGACUGGGACACGGCCCAGGCUACUACGGGAGGCAGCAGAGGGGAAUAUUGGACAAUGGGCGCAAGCCUGAUCCAGCCAUGCCGCGUGUGUGAAGACGGCCUUCGGGUUGUAAAGCACUUUUGUCCGGAAAGAAAUCCCUGGAGCUAAUACCUUCGGGGGAUGACGGUACCGGAAGAAUAAGCACCGGCUAACUUCGUG